GACGAACGCUGGCGGCGUGCUUAACACAUGCAAGUCGAACGGAAAGGCCCUGCUUUUGUGGGGUGCUCGAGUGGCGAACGGGUGAGUAACACGUGAGUAACCUGCCCUUGACUUUGGGAUAACUUCAGGAAACUGGGGCUAAUACCGGAUAGGAGCUCCUGCUGCAUGGUGGGGGUUGGAAAGUUUCGGCGGUUGGGGAUGGACUCGCGGCUUAUAAGCUUGUUGGUGGGGUAGUGGCUUACCAAGGCUUUGACGGGUAGCCGGCCUGAGAGGGUGACCGGCCACAUUGGGACUGAGAGACGGCCCAGACUCCUACGGGAGGCAGCAGUGGGGAAUAUUGCACAAUGGGCGGAAGCCUGAGGCAGCAACGCCGCGUGCGGGAUGACGGCCUUCGGGUUGUAAACCGCUUUCGCCUGUGACGAAGCGUGAGUGACGGUAAUGGGUAAAGAAGCACCGGCUAACUACGUG
Molecule: ribosomal RNA, 468 nt
Filed under: uncultured bacterium
Lineage: Bacteria
Description: partial 16S ribosomal RNA
Rfam family: Bacterial small subunit ribosomal RNA
Source: RNAcentral